Molecule: long non-coding RNA, 1012 nt
Filed under: Anser brachyrhynchus (Pink-footed goose)
Lineage: Eukaryota; Metazoa; Chordata; Aves; Anseriformes; Anatidae
Description: lncRNA (ENSABRG00000009108.1)
Source: RNAcentral
UUUUCAUUUAAUGUAUAAAUACACCAUAGCUACAAUGGCAUCUCCUCCUUACUCUAUCUCAAAAGGAAAAACUUUUCAAACCUAAGAUUUUUUCAACAAAUGAGGCCACCUCCCACUAUUAUAUUGCAUUUUGUUUCAAGAAAAUGUUGCAUCUUCCUAAUACUGAAGGGGUUAGCUCUUGAGUCUGAUUCAGGGAGCAUCACUGACCCCUGGUCUGGGGCCGAUCCCUGGCAGCUGCAUCCCCCACGUCACUUCUCCAGCGUUUCUGUGAGGGAACAUCUCCCGGGUCCUCCACAGCAGCCAGCAGAGACGAGCAGCCUCCAGCUGGCAGGUUCAGGAGCUGGUGACAGAUCAGCUGCUGGGUUCCCGAGUCAAGCUCCUAAGCUGCUGGAAGUCUGAAUCUGGGGAGAAGGGAAGGCCAUGUCACUGCAGCUCUCAGGUAUUUCCAAACCGAGGAAUUUUCAGACUCCCAGAGAGAAGUGCUGAUUUCCUACAGUACUGUCACAACCUUCUGAAUGCAAUGGGCAACUGCAUCGCAGUGGGAACUGACCUGUAACAGCAGCCAAAGGACUCUGAAUAUUUUGUUGCAACACUUGGCUUCACAGGGGAGGAAAUGUCUGGUCUCUGUGUCCAGAAAACAAAGACUUUUCAGGGGGGAGGAAUUUCUCGGGACACCUGAUGAACUGGAGCCACUCUGGAGAUUUGUGUAAACCAAAUUUGUUCCAGGCUUGAGAGAUUAGCAGGGUUUAGCUGCAGCGUUCUCCAGACAGCUCUGGAUGCCUUUAAAGCCUCUCUGGUUUUAAGAAUUGGAGAAACUCUUCUCUUUAAAGGAAAAAUGAUUCCUCCUUUCAGUGGCUGAAGCACACACUGGAGGGGCUGGCAGCAUAUCUGGAACAAACGUCACCAUCGCGCAGCUGCCAGCCAAUGCUCGUUGCCUUCAACUACCCUAAAGGAAAAUACAAGGUGUUAUUGGGGUAAUAAAGGUCCUGAUCUUCCCCGAGCCCUGACUUUC